RNAcentral lists this small RNA (75 nucleotides) under Xanthomonas campestris. RNAcentral describes it as "sRNA sX9". It matches the Rfam family "Xanthomonas sRNA sX9". The record is from RNAcentral. Lineage: Bacteria; Pseudomonadati; Pseudomonadota; Gammaproteobacteria; Lysobacterales; Lysobacteraceae. RNAcentral also lists the same sequence under 3 other names.
AUGUACCCACGUACAUUCCGGUUCCUCCGCGCCGUCCGCACCCACCUGACGACUGCUCGCUAUGUUUUGUUAGCC